This is a long non-coding RNA of Ruditapes philippinarum (Manila clam), 3083 nucleotides long. RefSeq lists it as uncharacterized. The transcript has 4 exons. The record is from RefSeq and is a predicted model, not a curated record. Lineage: Eukaryota; Metazoa; Mollusca; Bivalvia; Venerida; Veneridae.
AAAGCUUUAUACGGAAUUAAACAGUAAUAUAAAUUAAGUGCAGAUAAACCAAGGUUUCAGGAAAAUGUAAAGCAUUGCUCUUUGGAUUAAGUACACGUUAAUAUAAAUAACAUAUAAGAAACUUAAGAAUAAUGAUUUUCAAAGUUACAUGUACUUUAGUUUUCUUUGUUGUAACCCUUGUCAAAAGUCAUAAAAACGAAAUCGGGCUAGAAGUUCCGACAUCAGUCUAUUAUGGUAACUUCAAAGACAGGUUAAAGUUUCCACCAACACCAAUGCCAAACUUUAAUGUUAUGCAAUAGUCGGGUCGAUGGUUUUAUCAAUUUCAUAAAGCACCUUGUAGUUGGUCUAUUUCUGAAGACUUCACAGAUUACCACCAGGACCUUGCUGUACAAAACAAUAGAGUUAUACAUUGUGAAACAAUGAGGCAAGUCUAUCUCUAAUUGCUUAAAAACGUAAAACAGUGUGUGUUUGUGAAAGAACAUACUUACUUAAUCCCAAAAUAGAUAUGUAUUCAUUGUUUACGGAACGUUUGGACUGUCUUAUGUGUAUAACGACUAAUAUACCUGGUUACAUGUCAUUGUGUUGAGUCCGAGAACAACAUGUUGAGUUGAAAUCCAAAUAUGCUGGCUGGAAAUCCCGAUGUGCUCAGUUAUUGAAGUGUUAUGAUGUGCACUGAUUACAUUUCCUUCAGCCAAGUCAAUAUAGUGCCGUAUGCAUUAAUUAGUCUUAAUGUUCAGUUGUUAAUACAAACAGGCAUGUGGUAAUACAAUAAGAUAUGUUGUAGGUCUUUAUUAUGUUCAAUUGUAAUAAUAUGAUGUUUUGUGCACUUCUCAUUAUGUUCAACCAUGAAAAUAGAUUUAACCAGGUAUAUCACUCAUUCUACACAUAAGACAGUUCAGGCGUACCAUACUUGUUCGUUAAUGCUAUCACUUACAUACUUGUUCUGACAAUUGAAUAUUAUUUCAGUCGGCAAAAGCAAUCAUACAUUACAUAUUGCUUUGAUUUCGGCAUAUUGUUUAAGCAAAACAGCGACUUUUGUAAAUUAAUUAUGUACAAGAGAUCAUUCUUUUCACUAAAAUAGAGAAAAUAAGAAUCCCUAAAGUUUACAUAAAAUCUACACUUUAGAAACUUUGAACACGUCAAAUUAAACAAUUUACAUAUGUGUCUAGUUAAAACUACAAUGUGUUAUACUUAAAUAGAUUUAAGUUAAACAUUAAAUCACAUUAUUUAACUUUGUUACCUAGCCUUCAAUGUCAUCGAAACAUUUUAUGUACUUCAUGGUUCAACUUCAACUCAUAUUGCUGUUUUUGCAUCAGUAGUCUGAAUUGUCCAAUUUUAACACAAUCCUACCAUGCUGUUAAACUACAAAAAAUUAAACUUGCGGGAAUAAGGGAUAUCAGUUACGAGCUGACGUCAUAUUUGAUGGAAUAACUUUAUUACUGCAGAUAUUAAAUUAAGAUGAAACAAUUCCUCCUAAACAUGCACUUCUUAAUUAUCUUUAAGAAUAUGAAAGGAAAACAGUUAAAUGUGCAAUCUUUAUCUUAUGCAGAUACCAAGACAUUUGCAAUAGCGUAACAUCCGUACUAUCAUUGACAGAUAACCCUGGUAUAUUUACAGGAAAAGACCCAAUUGGUGAUAAUUGGAGUGGUCAAUGUUUUGUUGUUGCAACUGAUUAUAAAAGUUUCUCUAUAACAUGGGGUCAUUGCUCAACCAAAAAUGUGAAGAUACAACACUAUAUGUUAAGACAAGACAGCCUAAACCAAGCAAAGGUGUUCUGCAACAGAUUGAAAAUGUUCUAAAUAAUAUAUGGGGUAUCUCUGUUUACCACUUAACAAAAGUUAAGUAGGAAAAACGUAGGUAUUUCUUUUAAAAGAGCUUUAGUUUAUUUCAUCUUUUAUUAUUCGUUUUCCAGCUCGAAAUGAUAUCUUAUAGUUGUUUCAUUUAUACCACCUCAUAUAUAUCUAAAACACAUGGCAUGGAGUGGAUGGCAAAAACAAAUUCCGUUUUUCUUUAUUUUGUCACCUUAUUCUUGUUCUAUAUUUCCAUCCAAUAUUUGGUAAAAACGACAUAAUGAGGCAGGACAAUUACGAUAUAUAUGCUAAUAUAAGAAAUUUAAAAUCAUUAUUAACAAGAUCAACACUCUUUCGUUUGCUUAAAGAUCUUUGAAAUAAUUUAUACUCACCUCCAUUUUUUUGUGUUGCCUCUACAGAGACAAAGCGACAUAUUAAGAUGAUUAUUGCCAGAAUAAGGGCCCUUAAGAAAGGUUUUUUUAUUUUUAAAUACGUCAGGACUAUUCCCCUCAUAACACUUAUGUAAUUUCAAUAAAACUUUACAUGAUUGAUCAAUAGCUUCAGUAUUUGCGCAUGUUACACGGGUUUUCCGGUUGAAUUAUUUUUGGUUGAAUAGAAACGCGUUUUUCUUUUGUUAAUGGUUUUUGUUAUCUCCUGCCUCAAUUUAGCUGCAAAAUGCAACUGGCUAUCAUCGGGAGACACAUGUGUCCACCGAUCGCUCUUGUUCAGAAAUAUUUCAAUAAAAUCAAUAACAAAUCAAGAAAAGAUAACGACAGUUAUGAAAUAUUCCUGUCCUGUAUGGUUACUUUUAUUCUGAAUAUUAACAACUAGUUUUCUCAUUUGAAUUAACCCUUAGGUUAUAAUAAAUUUGUAAUAAUUAUGUUGUGCUUUCUGUUCUUCUUCAGCUUGCCCGUCCGAGAGAAAGAUAAGAAGUUAAAAAACGACAGACCUGAUGACAAUGUGAUAAACAAAGUAUAAACAAGACUAGUGUAUACUGUAUUCCUAGAAAUUAUUUCGCGUUUUUUAAGUUAGCGGUUGUUACAUUACCGUCGCCGCGAACAUGUGUAGCUACAAGCACUUAGAUCAAUAAUGUGUCAUUAUGAUAUACUAUGAUGUAGCUUACAUAGCUUUUACCUAUGCUUAACUGAUAAACAUUUCAAGGUAAAAUUUCCCUUUGCAAAACAGUCUUGCUGUUUGAAAGAACUUUGUAUCCAUUUUAUUUACAAAUUAAAUAAAAUCAUUUAAUACAUGCAUGUUAUUUAAAGUUUGCAAACUUUGAAUAAAGGUGAUUUU